This 334-nucleotide ribosomal RNA is filed under the name uncultured bacterium. RNAcentral describes it as "partial 16S ribosomal RNA". It matches the Rfam family "Bacterial small subunit ribosomal RNA", at positions 338 to 670 of the family's 1533-position model. The record is from RNAcentral.
CCUACGGGUGGCAGCAGUGAGGAAUAUUGGUCAAUGGGCGGAAGGCUGAACCAGCCAAGUCGCGUGAGGGAAGACUGCCCUAUGGGUUGUAAACCUCUUUUAUAAGGGAGGAAUAAAUUCUACGUGUAGCAUGCUGCCUGUACCUUAUGAAUAAGCAUCGGCUAACUCCGUGCCAGCAGCCGCGGUAAUACGGAGGAUGCGAGCGUUAUCCGGAUUUAUUGGGUUUAAAGGUUGAGUAGGCGGUUUUUUAAGUUAGUGGUUAAACGGCGGGGCUUCACCUUGAUUUGCCAUUUAGACUGGAAGACUUGAGUGCAGACGAGGGAGGCGGAAUAAG